RNAcentral lists this ribosomal RNA (1189 nucleotides) under Bifidobacterium longum. Its description in RNAcentral is "bacterial SSU rRNA". It matches the Rfam family "Bacterial small subunit ribosomal RNA", at positions 47 to 1248 of the family's 1533-position model. The record is from RNAcentral. Lineage: Bacteria; Bacillati; Actinomycetota; Actinomycetes; Bifidobacteriales; Bifidobacteriaceae.
CUUAACCAUGCAAGUCGAACGGGAUCCAUCAGGCUUUGCUUGUGGUGAGAGUGGCGAACGGGUGAGUAAUGCGUGACCGACCUGCCCCAUACACCGGAAUAGCUCCUGGAAACGGGUGGUAAUGCCGGAUGCUCCAGUUGAUCGCAUGGUCUUCUGGGAAAGCUUUCGCGGUAUGGGAUGGGGUCGCGUCCUAUCAGCUUGACGGCGGGGUAACGGCCCACCGUGGCUUCGACGGGUAGCCGGCCUGAGAGGGCGACCGGCCACAUUGGGACUGAGAUACGGCCCAGACUCCUACGGGAGGCAGCAGUGGGGAAUAUUGCACAAUGGGCGCAAGCCUGAUGCAGCGACGCCGCGUGAGGGAUGGAGGCCUUCGGGUUGUAAACCUCUUUUAUCGGGGAGCAAGCGAGAGUGAGUUUACCCGUUGAAUAAGCACCGGCUAACUACGUGCCAGCAGCCGCGGUAAUACGUAGGGUGCAAGCGUUAUCCGGAAUUAUUGGGCGUAAAGGGCUCGUAGGCGGUUCGUCGCGUCCGGUGUGAAAGUCCAUCGCUUAACGGUGGAUCCGCGCCGGGUACGGGCGGGCUUGAGUGCGGUAGGGGAGACUGGAAUUCCCGGUGUAACGGUGGAAUGUGUAGAUAUCGGGAAGAACACCAAUGGCGAAGGCAGGUCUCUGGGCCGUUACUGACGCUGAGGAGCGAAAGCGUGGGGAGCGAACAGGAUUAGAUACCCUGGUAGUCCACGCCGUAAACGGUGGAUGCUGGAUGUGGGGCCCGUUCCACGGGUUCCGUGUCGGAGCUAACGCGUUAAGCAUCCCGCCUGGGGAGUACGGCCGCAAGGCUAAAACUCAAAGAAAUUGACGGGGGCCCGCACAAGCGGCGGAGCAUGCGGAUUAAUUCGAUGCAACGCGAAGAACCUUACCUGGGCUUGACAUGUUCCCGACGGUCGUAGAGAUACGGCUUCCCUUCGGGGCGGGUUCACAGGUGGUGCAUGGUCGUCGUCAGCUCGUGUCGUGAGAUGUUGGGUUAAGUCCCGCAACGAGCGCAACCCUCGCCCCGUGUUGCCAGCGGAUUAUGCCGGGAACUCACGGGGGACCGCCGGGGUUAACUCGGAGGAAGGUGGGGAUGACGUCAGAUCAUCAUGCCCCUUACGUCCAGGGCUUCACGCAUGCUACAAUGGCCGGUACAACGGGAU